CGCGUAGGUGGUUUGAUAAGCGAGAUGUGAAAGCCCCGGGCUUAACCUGGGAACGGCAUUUCGAACUGUCAGGCUAGAGUAUGGUAGAGGAGUGUGGAAUUUCCUGUAUAGCGGUGAAAUGCGUAGAUAUAGGAAGGAACACCAGUGGCGAAGGCGGCACUCUGGACCAAUACUGACACUGAGGUGCGAAAGCGUGGGGAGCAAAACA
Molecule: ribosomal RNA, 208 nt
Filed under: uncultured bacterium
Lineage: Bacteria
Description: partial 16S ribosomal RNA
Rfam family: Bacterial small subunit ribosomal RNA
Source: RNAcentral